Long non-coding RNA from Platichthys flesus (European flounder), 391 nucleotides. RefSeq lists it as uncharacterized. The transcript is spliced from 3 exons. Lineage: Eukaryota; Metazoa; Chordata; Actinopteri; Pleuronectiformes; Pleuronectidae. The record is from RefSeq and is a predicted model, not a curated record.
GGAACAAGCCAUCAGCCAUUUACUGGACAAAGGUGACCUCCAACUACACUACCAGGGUUGGAGGGCUCCCUCUCCACCAUCCCGGAAUUAUCCGAUGAAGAGGAAUUCCCACCACUACCAGUCAUCAGUGUUGCUGGUCCCCGGACUGGCACAAUGGAACAGCGAGGAGCCCCGACAACCAUAACGGGAGGGUCACCUAACAUGAUGAGCGGGCAAUUAAAGGCUAAUAUUGCCACUCAAGCCGUAUCUGAGACCUCCCUACCACUUCUCCGCGGAAGUCCACCUCCCACUUGUGCCGUUCGGGGGUCCAGCACACCUCCACCCCCCGAGGAUAGCCCCACAGGACCCUCCUCCACCUCCUCCCCAUUCAGCCUACCACCACACACUCCCA